Molecule: ribosomal RNA, 253 nt
Filed under: uncultured bacterium
Lineage: Bacteria
Description: partial 16S ribosomal RNA
Rfam family: Bacterial small subunit ribosomal RNA
Source: RNAcentral
UACAGAGGGGGCAAGCGUUGUUCGGAAUUACUGGGCGUAAAGGGCGCGUAGGCGGCCUUCUAAGUCGAACGUGAAAUCCCCGGGCUCAACCCGGGAACUGCGUCCGAUACUGGAAGGCUUGAAUCCGGGAGAGGGAUGUGGAAUUCCAGGUGUAGCGGUGAAAUGCGUAGAUAUCUGGAGGAACACCGGUGGCGAAGGCGACAGCCUGGACCGGUAUUGACGCUGAGGCGCGAAAGCCAGGGGAGCAAACGGG